RNAcentral lists this ribosomal RNA (494 nucleotides) under uncultured bacterium. Its description in RNAcentral is "partial 16S ribosomal RNA". It matches the Rfam family "Bacterial small subunit ribosomal RNA", at positions 28 to 507 of the family's 1533-position model. The record is from RNAcentral.
GACGAACGCUGGCGGCGCGCUUAACACAUGCAAGUCGAACGGAAAGGCCUGCUUUCCCUUGUGGAUUGCGGGUACUCGAGUGGCGAACGGGUGAGUAACACGUGAGUGAUCUGCCCCCAACUUGGGUAUAAGCCUGGGAAACUGGGUCUAAUUCCCGAUAGGACUGCAGGGUGGUGCCUGUGGUGGAAAACGAUUUUCUAGUGGUUGGGGAUGAGCACGCGGCCUAUCAGCUUGUUGGUGGGGUAAUGGCCUACCAAGGCGGCGACGGGUAGCCGGCCUGGGAGGGUGGACGGCCACAUUGGGACUGAGAUACGGCCCAGACUCCUACGGGAGGCAGCAGUGGGGAAUAUUGCACAAUGGGCGGAAGCCUGAUGCAGCGACGCCGCGUGGGGGAUGACGGCCUUCGGGUUGUAAACUCCUUUCGACCGCGAGGAAGCCACCUGGUUGGAAGGGUGGUGACGGUAGUGGUAGAAGAAGCACCGGCUAACUACGUG